This 349-nucleotide transfer-messenger RNA is filed under the name bacterium. Its description in RNAcentral is "G020355325 sp020355325 Standard tmRNA". It matches the Rfam family "transfer-messenger RNA". Rfam says of the family: Bacterial tmRNA, also known as 10Sa RNA or SsrA, is named for its dual tRNA and mRNA-like properties. Its role is to liberate the mRNA from a stalled ribosome. RNAcentral also lists the same sequence under 1 other name. The record is from RNAcentral.
GGGGGCGAUGGGCUUUGACGGGGCAACUGAAAUGAAAGCCGGCAUACCGAGGGUUCUGGUCACCUCGUUAAUCCGACCCGAAGAAAAAACAUCCUGAAAUGGGAUACACAUUGGCUGCAUAAUAAUGUAGUCACGCUUGCCCAGGUGGUCAGCCCAGCCUGGGGCCAGGUGUCAUAGAGGGCUGAAGCCCAUCAAUUCCUGCCUUUGGAAUUGAUGCGGUACUCGAAAAGGCUGUCUCUUGCAGACCUGUCUCUUGGUGACGCGAGAGGAGACGCAUAAAGAGACUAAGUAUGUAGUCUGCUUCAUAGAAAUGCUCCGGACGCGGGUUCAAUUCCCGCCGCCUCCACCA